RNAcentral lists this non-coding RNA (29 nucleotides) under Mus musculus (house mouse). The record is from RNAcentral. Lineage: Eukaryota; Metazoa; Chordata; Mammalia; Rodentia; Muridae.
UGCUUAGUAGUUAGUGUUGGGCUUUUGUU